GAGGGUACAGCUCAAGUGGUAGAGAACGUGCCUGAUAAGCAUGAGGUCCUGGGUUCAAUCCCAGUACCUCCU
Molecule: transfer RNA, 72 nt
Filed under: Camelus bactrianus (Bactrian camel)
Lineage: Eukaryota; Metazoa; Chordata; Mammalia; Artiodactyla; Camelidae
Also listed under: 1 other name
Rfam family: tRNA
About the family: Transfer RNA (tRNA) molecules are approximately 80 nucleotides in length. Their secondary structure includes four short double-helical elements and three loops (D, anti-codon, and T loops). Further hydrogen bonds mediate the characteristic L-shaped molecular structure. tRNAs have two regions of fundamental functional importance: the anti-codon, which is responsible for specific mRNA codon recognition, and the 3' end, to which the tRNAs corresponding amino acid is attached (by aminoacyl-tRNA synthetases). tRNAs cope with the degeneracy of the genetic code in two manners: having more than one tRNA (with a specific anti-codon) for a particular amino acid; and 'wobble' base-pairing, i.e. permitting non-standard base-pairing at the 3rd anti-codon position.
Source: Rfam by way of RNAcentral